Molecule: ribosomal RNA, 500 nt
Filed under: uncultured bacterium
Lineage: Bacteria
Description: bacterial SSU rRNA
Rfam family: Bacterial small subunit ribosomal RNA
Source: RNAcentral
ACGAGUUUGAUCAUGGCUCAGGAUGAACGCUAGCGGCAGGCCUAACACAUGCAAGUCGAGGGGUAGAGUUCUUCGGGACUUGAGACCGGCGCACGGGUGCGUAACGCGUAUGCAAUCUACCUUAUACAGGGGAAUAGCCCAGAGAAAUUUGGAUUAAUGCCCCAUAGUGUUAUCGAAUCGCAUGGUUUGAUAACUAAAGUUCCAACGGUAUAAGAUGAGCAUGCGUCCCAUUAGUUAGUUGGUAAGGUAACGGCUUACCAAGACAAUGAUGGGUAGGGGUCCUGAGAGGGAGAUCCCCCCACACUGGUACUGAGACACGGACCAGACUCCUACGGGAGGCAGCAGUGAGGAAUAUUGGUCAAUGGGCGCAAGCCUGAACCAGCCAUGCCGCGUGCAGGAAGACGGUCCUAUGGAUUGUAAACUGCUUUUAUACAGGAAGAAACCCUCCCACGUGUGGGAGCUUGACGGUACUGUAGGAAUAAGGAUCGGCUAACUCCGUG